Molecule: small nuclear RNA, 189 nt
Organism: Microtus oregoni (creeping vole)
Lineage: Eukaryota; Metazoa; Chordata; Mammalia; Rodentia; Cricetidae
Product: U2 spliceosomal RNA
Exons: 1
Source: RefSeq, a predicted model, not a curated record
UUGACUUCUUGGCCUUUUGGCUGUGAUCAAGUGCAUUAUUUGUUCUUAUCAAUUUAUCAUGUGUUGUGUCCUCGGUCCAAGGAUAAAAACAAAACUUAAAUGGUUUUUGGAGAAGAACGAUGGAAUGGAGCAUGUCCAUUCCACUGGUUGAUCUGGCAAUGUGAUUUCUCCUCAUAUGGUACACACCCU